UAGGGAAUCUUUCGCAAUGGACGCAAGUCUGACGGAGCAACGCCGCGUGAGUGAAGAAGGAUUUCGGUUCGUAAAACUCUGUUGUUAGAGAAGAACAGCGCAUAGAGUAACUGUUAUGCGUGUGACGGUAUCUAACCAGAAAGCCACGGCUAACUACGUGCCAGCAGCCGCGGUAAUACGUAGGUGGCAAGCGUUGUCCGGAUUUAUUGGGCGUAAAGCGAGCGCAGGCGGUCAAUUAAGUCUGAUGUGAAAGCCCCCGGCUCAACCGGGGAGGGUCAUUGGAAACUGGUUGACUGGAGUGCAGAAGAGGAGGGUGGAAUUCCAUGUGUGGCGGUGAAAUGCGUAGAUAUAUGGAGGAAAACCAGUGGCGAGGGCGACUCUCUGGUCUGUAACUGACGCUGGGGCUCGAAAGCGUGGGUAGCAAACAGG
This 429-nucleotide ribosomal RNA is filed under the name Bacteroidota bacterium. RNAcentral describes it as "Bacteroidetes bacterium partial 16S ribosomal RNA". It matches the Rfam family "Bacterial small subunit ribosomal RNA", at positions 355 to 776 of the family's 1533-position model. Lineage: Bacteria; Pseudomonadati; Bacteroidota. The record is from RNAcentral.